CCCAGGAGGUGAUACCCCGGGGCCGUGGGUGGGUGCUGUUUCUCACUUCAGUCCUGUGGUUAUUCUGUCUCAUCGCCAGACCCUGAAGAUCUUGAAGGGACAAAGGUCUAAGCAUCCUGUUCACUGCAGCAGAGCGUCUGCCCCGAGAAUGAUGUGAGGAGCCGGUAAACAAGCUUUACUUCUCCUGCACCACUGAUGGACAGCAUCGUGGCAGCAUGUAUCAAAGUGAAAAAUCCUUACAAUGCUAGGGUCCUCAGUUGACACUCCAAUCCCCCACAUCGGUAGGCAUCAUCACUGCCCUUCAGCCCCUUCGUCCACUCGGUGUAUCUUCCCAGUACUCACUGCCCACAGCAGCCCACUCUGAUUCCUUCUUCCACUUUCCAGCCCCAGCAGAGCACCAUCUGGGAUAGAUCUCUCCACGGCCUAGCCCGAACACUGGCACUGGUUCU
Molecule: non-coding RNA, 449 nt
Organism: Kogia breviceps (pygmy sperm whale)
Lineage: Eukaryota; Metazoa; Chordata; Mammalia; Artiodactyla; Physeteridae
Source: RefSeq, a predicted model, not a curated record